RNAcentral lists this unclassified non-coding RNA (460 nucleotides) under Ophiocordyceps nutans. Its description in RNAcentral is "contains ITS1, 5.8S rRNA and ITS2". The stretch from base 148 to 302 matches the Rfam family "5.8S ribosomal RNA". The record is from RNAcentral. Lineage: Eukaryota; Fungi; Ascomycota; Sordariomycetes; Hypocreales; Ophiocordycipitaceae.
UUGAGUUAAAAAAAACUCUCCAAUUCUCUGUGAACAUGUAUAUAUUUUCUGCCUCGGCAGGUAUUUCUUCGGAGUACAUGCCGGAGGAACUUUUAAAACGCUAUAUUUUCAAGUCUUUCUCAGUAUUAAAAAAAAACAAACAAUAAAAACUUUUAGCAACGGAUCUCUUGGCUCUAGCAUCGAUGAAGAACGCAGCGAAAUGCGAUAAGUAAUGCGAAUUGCAGAAUCUAGUGAGUCAUCGAAUCUUUGAACGCAUAUUGCGCCUACUAGCUAUUCUAGUAGGCAUGCCUAUUUGAGCGUCAUUUAAAGCAUUUAUACCUUGUAUAGUGUUGGAGAAUAGCGAAUAAACGACGCUAUCUCUAAAAUAAAGAAGCAAGCAAUUCAACCUCUCUUCUUGUAGAGUAAAAGCUACAAAUGCAAGAAGUCGAGGAAAGGAAAGCUUUUAAACAUAAACCUAUAA